GGCUUCGUCGCUCAGCUGGUAGAGCGCUUUCCGUGUUGAGGUACGGCGUUUCUGUCACUGGUUCGAAUCCAGCCGAAACCC
This 81-nucleotide transfer RNA is filed under the name Paragonimus heterotremus. It matches the Rfam family "tRNA". From Rfam's summary of the family: Transfer RNA (tRNA) molecules are approximately 80 nucleotides in length. Their secondary structure includes four short double-helical elements and three loops (D, anti-codon, and T loops). Further hydrogen bonds mediate the characteristic L-shaped molecular structure. tRNAs have two regions of fundamental functional importance: the anti-codon, which is responsible for specific mRNA codon recognition, and the 3' end, to which the tRNAs corresponding amino acid is attached (by aminoacyl-tRNA synthetases). tRNAs cope with the degeneracy of the genetic code in two manners: having more than one tRNA (with a specific anti-codon) for a particular amino acid; and 'wobble' base-pairing, i.e. permitting non-standard base-pairing at the 3rd anti-codon position. Lineage: Eukaryota; Metazoa; Platyhelminthes; Trematoda; Plagiorchiida; Troglotrematidae. The record is from Rfam by way of RNAcentral.